Molecule: unclassified non-coding RNA, 148 nt
Organism: Pongo abelii (Sumatran orangutan)
Lineage: Eukaryota; Metazoa; Chordata; Mammalia; Primates; Hominidae
Rfam family: Metazoan signal recognition particle RNA
About the family: The signal recognition particle (SRP) is a universally conserved ribonucleoprotein. It is involved in the co-translational targeting of proteins to membranes. The eukaryotic SRP consists of a 300-nucleotide 7S RNA and six proteins: SRPs 72, 68, 54, 19, 14, and 9.
Source: Ensembl
GCCGGGCAUGGUGGUGCGUGCCUGUAAUCCCGGCUACUCGGGAGGCUGAGACAUGAGAAUCUCUUGAGCCCGGGAGGCGGAGGUUGCGGUGAGCUGAGAUGGAGCCACUGCACUUCAGCCUGGGUGACAGAGUGAGACUUUGUCUCAC